GUGACGAGAACGUAUUUUUUUCUUCGUGUAGCCAAGUUAAAGACAAGUCAAAUUCAUGUCGUCCGUGUGAUAUCUUACACUGGAACCAAGAUGGCUUGUCACUUGAAAAAGGCGCCAUCCAUCAAGCCGCAUUCCGGUCGAAGAGAUUACGGAUCUCUAGCAAGCUCAGAAAUCCACAAAAUCACAGACACAGUGGAAAAUAAUGAAAAUGAGUUCUUGCAAAGAAAUAAGUGUAAUCUCAUUGAAGAACUCAUGAAGAUACCAGACGAGGUUUUAAAUGAAGUAGAGUCAUUGAAUAUAAUAACAAAGCGCGAAUACAGAG
Lethenteron reissneri (Far Eastern brook lamprey) is the source of this 322-nucleotide long non-coding RNA. RefSeq lists it as uncharacterized. NCBI's taxonomy places the organism in Eukaryota, Metazoa, Chordata, Hyperoartia, Petromyzontiformes, Petromyzontidae. The record is from RefSeq and is a predicted model, not a curated record.